UGCCCCCGGGGUCGGGGGGGAGUAACAGUCGGAAACGAUUGCUAAGACCGCAUACGACCCUCUGUUGCAGGAUAGAGGGGGAAAGGCAGUGAUGUGCCCUGGGAGGGCUCCGCGUCGGAUUAGCUAGUUGGUGGGGUAACGGCCUACCAAGGCCGCGAUCCGUAGCUGGUCUGAGAGGACGGCCAGCCACACUGGGACUGAGACACGGCCCAG
This 213-nucleotide ribosomal RNA is filed under the name uncultured bacterium. Its description in RNAcentral is "partial 16S ribosomal RNA". It matches the Rfam family "Bacterial small subunit ribosomal RNA", at positions 127 to 334 of the family's 1533-position model. The record is from RNAcentral.